AACGAACGCUGGCGGCAGGCCUAACACAUGCAAGUCGAGCGCGCCUUCGGGUGAGCGGCGGACGGGUGAGUAACGCGUGGGAAUAUGCCCUUCUCUACGGAAUAGUCCUGGGAAACUGGGGGUAAUACCGUAUACGCCCUUUGGGGGAAAGAUUUAUCGGGGAAGGAUUAGCCCGCGUUGGAUUAGGUAGUUGGUGGGGUAAUGGCCUACCAAGCCGACGAUCCAUAGCUGGUUUGAGAGGAUGAUCAGCCACACUGGGACUGAGACACGGCCCAGACUCCUACGGGAGGCAGUAGUGGGGAAUCUUAGACAAUGGGGGCAACCCUGAUCUAGCCAUGCCGCGUGAGUGAUGAAGGCCUUAGGGUUGUAAAGCUCUUUCAGCUGGGAAGAUAAUGACGGUACCAGCAGAAGAAGCCCCGGCUAACUCCGUG
RNAcentral lists this ribosomal RNA (431 nucleotides) under uncultured bacterium. RNAcentral's name for it is "partial 16S ribosomal RNA". It matches the Rfam family "Bacterial small subunit ribosomal RNA", at positions 29 to 507 of the family's 1533-position model. The record is from RNAcentral.